UAAUACUGCAAGUUGAACGCUGAAGACUGGUACUUGUACUAGUUGGAUGAGUAGCGCAUUUGUGAGUAACGCGUGGGUAACCUACCUCUUAGCGGGGGACUACUAUUGGAAACGAUAGCUAAUACUGCAUAACAAUACCUAACACAUGUUAAGUAUUUGAAAGCACCAAUUGGUGCACUAAGAGAUGGACCCGUGUUGUAUUAGCUAGUUGGGAGUGGAAUGGACUACCAAGGCGAUGAUACAUAGCCGACCUGAGAGGGUGAUCGGCCACAUUGGGACUGAGACACGGCCCAAACUCCUACGGGAGGCAGCAGUAGGGAAUCUUCGGCAAUGGGGGCAACCCUGACCGAGCAACGCCGCGUGAGUGAAGAAGGUUUUCGGAUCGUAAAACUCUGUUGUUAGAGAAGAACGUCAGUGAGAGUGGAAAGUUCACUGAGUGACGGUAUCUAACCAGAAAGGGACGGCUAACUACGUGCCAGCAGCCGCGGUAAUACGUAGGUCCCAAGCGUUGUCCGGAUUUAUUGGGCGUAAAGCGAGCGCAGGUGAUUUAAUAAGUCUGAUGUAAAAGGCAGUGGCUCAACCAUUGUGUGCAUUGGAAACUGUUAGACUUGAGUGCAGUAGAGGAGAGUGGAAUUCCAUGUGUAGCGGUGAAAUGCGUACAUAUAUGGAG
RNAcentral lists this ribosomal RNA (670 nucleotides) under uncultured bacterium. RNAcentral's name for it is "bacterial SSU rRNA". It matches the Rfam family "Bacterial small subunit ribosomal RNA", at positions 49 to 703 of the family's 1533-position model. The record is from RNAcentral.